ACAACGAAGAGUUUGAUCCUGGCUCAGGAUGAACGCUAGCGACAGGCUUAACACAUGCAAGUCGAGGGGCAGCACGGGUAGCAAUACCGGGUGGCGACCGGCGCACGGGUGAGUAACGCGUAUGCAACUUACCUAUCAGAGGGGGAUAACCCGGCGAAAGUCGGACUAAUACCGCAUGAAGCAGGGGCCCCGCAUGGGGAUAUUUGCUAAAGAUUCAUCGCUGAUAGAUAGGCAUGCGUUCCAUUAGGCAGUUGGCGGGGUAACGGCCCACCAAACCGACGAUGGAUAGGGGUUCUGAGAGGAAGGUCCCCCACAUUGGUACUGAGACACGGACCAAACUCCUACGGGAGGCAGCAGUGAGGAAUAUUGGUCAAUGGGCGUAAGCCUGAACCAGCCAAGUCGCGUGAGGGAUGAAGGUUCUAUGGAUCGUAAACCUCUUUUAUAAGGGAAUAAAGUGCGGGACGUGUCCCGUUUUGUAUGUACCUUAUGAAUAAGGAUCGGCUAACUCCGUGCCAGCAGCCGCGGUAAUACGGAGGAUCCGAGCGUUAUCCGGAUUUAUUGGGUUUAAAGGGUGCGUAGGCGGCCUUUUAAGUCAGCGGUGAAAGUCUGUGGCUCAACCAUAGAAUUGCCGUUGAAACUGGGGGGCUUGAGUAUGUUUGAGGCAGGCGGAAUGCGUGGUGUAGCGGUGAAAUGCUUAGAUAUCACGCAGAACCCCGAUUGCGAAGGCAGCCUGCCAAGCCAUGACUGACGCUGAUGCACGAAAGCGUGGGGAUCAAACAGGAUUAGAUACCCUGGUAGUCCACGCAGUAAACGAUGAUCACUAGCUGUUUGCGAUACACUGUAAGCGGCACAGCGAAAGCGUUAAGUGAUCCACCUGGGGAGUACGCCGGCAACGGUGAAACUCAAAGGAAUUGACGGGGGCCCGCACAAGCGGAGGAACAUGUGGUUUAAUUCGAUGAUACGCGAGGAACCUUACCCGGGUUUGAACGCAUUUCGACCGCUCUGGAAACAGAGCCUCUAGCAAUAGCGAUUUGCGAGGUGCUGCAUGGUUGUCGUCAGCUCGUGCCGUGAGGUGUCGGCUUAAGUGCCAUAACGAGCGCAACCCUUGCCACUAGUUACUAACAGGUAAAGCUGAGGACUCUGGUGGGACUGCCAGCGUAAGCUGCGAGGAAGGCGGGGAUGACGUCAAAUCAGCACGGCCCUUACAUCCGGGGCGACACACGUGUUACAAUGGCGUGGACAAAGGGAAGCCACCUGGCGACAGGGAGCGAAUCCCCAAACCACGUCUCAGUUCGGAUCGGAGUCUGCAACCCGACUCCGUGAAGCUGGAUUCGCUAGUAAUCGCGCAUCAGCCAUGGCGCGGUGAAUACGUUCCCGGGCCUUGUACACACCGCCCGUCAAGCCAUGGGAGCCGGGGGUACCUGAAGUCCGUAACCGCGAGGAUCGGCCUAGGGUAAAACUGGUGACUGGGGCUAAGUCGUAACAAGGUAGCCGUACCGGAAGGUGCGGCUGGAACACCUCCUUU
Molecule: ribosomal RNA, 1525 nt
Filed under: Parabacteroides distasonis
Lineage: Bacteria; Pseudomonadati; Bacteroidota; Bacteroidia; Bacteroidales; Tannerellaceae
Description: bacterial SSU rRNA
Rfam family: Bacterial small subunit ribosomal RNA
Source: RNAcentral